GACUUAGGGGGUUCGGGUAGGGCUCCCCACUCCUGCCGUGAGAUAGCCCUGGGCACCGGCCUGCGGGACCAGAUAAAGGCUGCGAAGGAGCCUAGUCACUGGCCGCAGGCGUGGCUCCCCGGCCCGAUUCCACCUCGAAGUGUCGCCUGCCUGCCCGGGGUUGCGGCCGCACGGAGCUGCGGUGCCUCUGUCGGCCUGACCCCUUCUCUCCCGCAGCCUGGAGGAGGGACGUCUGACGCUGAGUUGCCAUGGCAUCCUACUACGAGAUUCUAGACGUACCGCGGAGUGCGUCCCCUGAUGACAUCAAGAAGGCGUAAGUGCCUCGGCUGUGUUACAGAAAGGCUCUGACCCUUGUUCCCCGCCCCCCUGAGUGCCAGGGGCCCUUUAGAGGUCUGGCUGAAGGGAGGAAGGAGACCCUUGGGAAAGUACGAAGACCAAGUCCAGCCAGGGAAGAAGAGCUGACCUUCUUUAGCGUCCUCUAUACACCCAGCUCCCCUCUCCUCCAGCUCCUACAUGUGGGCUUGCCCAGGUUGCAGUGCUAAAAUGCCCAGGCUAUGAGACAGGACAGUGUCUCCACUCUCCCUGUGGCUAUAGAUAGCUCUAUCAAAAGAACCCCAAGAAAGGGCUUAUGGCAGGGACUUUCCUUUUUACUCAUAUCCCUGGCACACCACAGGGAGAGAAACCCCUGAAUACAGGCUGCAGUCGUGAGGUAUUCUGGGAUCGGGGCAGUGAAAGGGUGUUGGACUAAGCAAAAAGGGUAGUCGGUGGGCAAAGCCUACAUCAGUCUCCUGACCCUCCCUCUGCACUCACUUCCUGCAGGUACCGAAAGAAGGCUCUGCAGUGGCACCCAGACAAGAACCCGGAUAAUAAAGAAUUUGCUGAAAAAAAAUUUAAGGAGGUGGCAGAGGCCUAUGAAGUACUAUCUGACAGUAAGGCUUGGGGUCCUGCAGGGACCGGCAUGUCCCCCUGCUUCCAUUCAUUCUUGGUACUCCUUCCUAAAGCCACGCCUCCAUCCCGUCUCCUCCAUGAUUUUAUUUUAGAUAGUGUUUAAUCGCCUCCAUGUUAUGUCUGUCUAGCAGGGUCUGAAGAGCAAUUUGGGUCCUGAUCGGGGAAGGUCAUAGCUUUCCUGCCAGGCCAGCUUAUCACCCCCAUUUUGUAGGCUAGUAAACUGAGGCUGAGAGAGAUGAAAUAAUUUGCCCAUUUCUUGAGCCAGAAUAUGAAUCCAGGUCUGAUGGGUGAUUUUUUUUUUUCCUCUGUGCUUGAGUAUGCCUAGGGCAUUGCACAUGCUAAAGCAAGUUUUCUACUGUCAAGCCAUGAUUCCAGACCCAGGUCAUUCACUCAUUCAUUUAUUCAUUCAUUUAGAAAACAGUCUGACUAGACAUGGCUAUAAUUCCAGCACUCAGGAGGUAAGGUAAUGCAGGAGGAUUUUAAGGUCAAAGGUCCUGUUUCAAUAAGUAAACAAACUUCAAAACAACAACCACUAGUUGAGGCUGUAACUUUGUCAGUAGAGUGCUUUGGUAACAUACACAAGGCCCUAUGUAUGAUCCCUAGCCCCGCAUAAACUUGGCGUGGUGGCGCAUGCCUGUAAUCCUAGCGACACAAGAUGGAGGCAGGAGGAUCGAAAGUUCAAGGUCUUCCUUGGCCACAUAUCAAACUCAUGACCAUCCUGGGCUACAUGAAUAGUAUCUUUUUUUUUUUUUUUUGAGACAGGGUUUCUCCGUAUAGUCCUGGCUAUCCUGGAGCUCACUUUGUAGACCAGGUUGGCCUCGAACUCAGAAAUCUGCCUGCCUCUGUCUCCCAAGUGCUGGGAUUAAAGGCGUGCGCCACCACGCCCGGCUAACAGUAUCUUUUAAAAUGUAUUUCUGAGAUGAUGUGGGUGGUGGUUCACACUUGUCACCUCAGCACUGAGGAGGCUGAGGUAAGGUGAUUGCAGAGAGGUUGAAGACAGCCUGGAUACAGGAUGAGACCCUGUCUCAAAACACCAAAACCAAACCCCACAAAUGAUCCCAGAAAAUAUCUCCUAAAAUUACUGUGCCAGGUAUUUCCGGGUACUAGGGAGACAGUGGAGGGCAAGCAGGCCCCGUCCUCGUCCCGUGGUCUAUCGUAUUCUGGUUAGGGAAGACCGACAGGAGUCAGGUAUGUGCAGAGGCAGGUUACACACCGAGAAGAGGAUUCCAAAGGAGAACUGCUGUACCAGGGAAGGGUGGCGCAUGCUCUUGUUGUGGUCCUAGCUAGUCUCUGUGGAAGUGGCUUGGUUAGGAUAAGCCUAUUAAUAAGAAUAUGGUAUAAUUAGCUGACAUUUAUUUACUUGUUUCUGUGGAGCUGAGUGUUGAGCCCAGGGUCUUGUUCCUGUUAGACAGGGUCUCUGCUACUAAGCUCUCCCUCAGCCCCUAGCUUAUGUUUAUUGCCUUAUGUGUUAGGCAGACACCGUGCUAGGCAGGUUGGUGAGUUAUCUCCUUUAAAUUCUCUCAGUGGCUCAGAGUGGGUGCUAUGAGCAUGUCUGUCAUAGAGAUGAGCCAGCUGCUGAAACCAUGCCCCCCUGGAUACCCUGCCGUCUCCCAAGUUUCAUUUUCUGACACUCGUCCUAGCCCAAGAGGGGCGAUAACUUUCCUAAAGGGAGGAAUGACCAGGUCUCUUCUUCUAGAGCACAAACGGGAGAUCUAUGACCGCUAUGGCCGGGAAGGGCUGACCGGGGCAGGUAGGUGGAGUGGUGGGGUUCCAGGAUGGAAGUGGGUCAGGGAGGGAGGGGCAGGCAAAUUCUGGCAAAGCAUGCUCUUUCUAAGGUUCCUGGCCAUGCCUUAGGUGGGAUGCCCUGGCUCAGGGCUGUAUGUACACACUAAGUCGUCCCCUCCUCAUCCUGACUCUCCUCCAGGAAGUGGUCCUUCUCGAUCGGAAACUGGUGGUGCGGGGCCUGGCUUCACAUUCACCUUCCGUAGCCCCGAGGAAGUCUUCCGGGAGUUCUUCGGGAGCGGAGACCCUUUUUCAGAGCUCUUUGGUACGUAGACGCAGGGUUGCUCCACUCCCUCUUCCAGCCUGCUGUCUGUCCUCUGUGGGGAAUCUCUCAGGCUAGAGCCGGAGACGGAAUUGGAAUUUCACAGCCGGGAGAUUUGAGGUUGUAGGCGUGAGUCCAGGGAAAGCUAGGACAGAACCUGACACAUGGCAGGACUCACGUGACACACCAGUGACACUUCACAGACUGGCCUUAUUAAAUGACAACAAGAACACAUUGUUAAGCCUCCACAACAGCCACCAGUGGAGCAAGACUCAAAAGCAUCAUGUGACUGCUGCAGCGCCAUUACACAUAACAACAGACACCUUUUUUUGUUGUGGUUUGAUGACUAACAUAUGCCAAGAGUUCUACAUCUCCUAAAGCCUCUUGUAAAUCCUGAGAGCUGAGCCAUUUUAAUCCCCAUUUCCAGAUGAGAAGACGGAAGCAUGUUAGUUAGCUUAGAUGCGCACAAGUAAUUGGCACAGCUGGGUGGCUAGGAAGGCGCUCUGUGGUAGGGGCUUGUCCAGCAUGUGCAGGGCACUGAUUUCAGUCCCCGGCACCACAAAUCAAAACGUGAAGGCAAAUCUGUUGAUUAAAAGACUCCUUCGACAAGCAUGGUUUGCACAUGCCUGUAAAGAACUCACCACUGAGCACUGGCCACGGUGGUGCACACUUUUAAUCCCUGCGCUCAGGAGGCAGAGGCACUCUUGAGUUCAGGGCUAGCCUGCUCUACCUAGCAAUUUUCAGGCCAGCCAGACCUAUGCAGUGAGAACCUGUCUCAAAACCCCAAAAGAACUUUAAACUUGGGAGAUGGAGGCCCAAGAUCAGGGCUUCAGGGUCAUCUUUAUCUAUUAAGUUUGAGGCUAGCCUGAGCUACUGAUACUGAGACGCUUUUUCC
Molecule: long non-coding RNA, 3887 nt
Filed under: Mus musculus (house mouse)
Lineage: Eukaryota; Metazoa; Chordata; Mammalia; Rodentia; Muridae
Description: long non-coding RNA chr1:75236635-75240522
Source: RNAcentral